GAGAUGGAUGUGAAUAAUGGAAUGGAGACAAUGAGAUUUUGUUAUUUACUUGAUGAUGAAUUGGUAGCUGUCAAUGAAAUGAGGUCCCGAAACUAUUUGGAUUUGUAAGAUAUUCUUGAACUACGUACCUGACGCCUUCAAUCCAUCCGGGAAAAGGUUCUUUCCAAAUUAACAAUGAUUUCCACUUGAUUCUUCAUCUCUUCAACCAAAUUUGAAUCGUCUAUCAAUCCCAUUUGUGUGAGUGAAACUUCCCCAGGUACCACACAAACCUUCUCUGAAAUUAAGGUGGCCCCAGUUCUAAAGCUUGAUAAGGCUCGAGAAGUCGACAAGAGAGAAAUCCCAAAAGUAAAAAGGGAAAAAAGAGGUAUUACUAUUCUUUUUUUCUCUUUUUUUUUUCCCAAACGUAAAUAAGGGUCUAAUUUUUAGUCGUGGUAGGAUGCAAAAAAUGAAUGUAGUUUAUGGUGAACUUAACUAUACAUAUUAUUAUUAAUAUUACUACAAAAUAAUUGAGUUAAAAAAUGGAAUAAUAUAAUUUAAUUUUCUACAUUGGUAAAACCAAAAUAUGAAUCACUAACAACUAACAAAACUUCUAAAUUACAUGUUUUGAACGCUUAAAGAGAUUGAAAGAAAAAAUAUUAUUUACCUUGCGUUCGAAUUCUCCAUUCCUUCUUGAUGGAACCAAAAAAA
Molecule: long non-coding RNA, 687 nt
Organism: Cucumis melo (muskmelon)
Lineage: Eukaryota; Viridiplantae; Streptophyta; Magnoliopsida; Cucurbitales; Cucurbitaceae
Exons: 4
Source: RefSeq, a predicted model, not a curated record